Molecule: unclassified non-coding RNA, 3654 nt
Filed under: Hevea brasiliensis (rubber tree)
Lineage: Eukaryota; Viridiplantae; Streptophyta; Magnoliopsida; Malpighiales; Euphorbiaceae
Source: RNAcentral
GUUUUAGCUCUUCCUUUCUCUGCGCAUUCUUUUACUAAUUUUUAGUGUUUUAACGUACGAAUGCUUUCCCUUAAGAAUCCCCUCUUCAGUUUUUCCGUCUUUUAUAGGAUUGUCCUUGCUCAUUUUCAAGUUUUGAGCAUGAAUUGUCUCUGGUCAUCCGAUAAUUUUUGCUCUAUGUAUAUUCGGAGUCGUAAACUUUUGGAAGUUGGUGUUUUUUUACUUGUUUUCGUUGUUUUUGAAUUCCCUUUUUCUUUCUUUUCCCCCCUAAUUUAUUGGAUUAUACUUUCUUAUUGUCAUUGUCAAGUUGUUUGGAGCGUGAAUUGUCUUCUGGGUACCUUAUAAGUUUAGCUCUUGUGUUCAAUGUCAAUUCAAAGUAUUAAACUUUGUAUAAGUUAGUUUCCUUCUUUCCAUUUCUAUUAUAAUUUUAUUGACCAUUGCUGUUUGCUUAUUACCUGUUUGAUGUUUUGCAGAGGCAGCUGUAGAAUUGUUUGGAUUCUACCUUCUAAAUUGGAGUAAAUAAUCGAUAAAAUAUGGCGUUCACAUUGUUUAGAAACAUUCAAACCUACCCUUUAUUGCUAUAUCCAACUGCAUUCUUUAGAAGAAAUAAUUUUGUUUUCUACUGCAUGAUGAAAAGCACAACGCAAAGUCAAACAGCUACUCGAGAAAACCAGCACAGUCCGCAAAUUAAAGUUUCACCACAAACCCAGUCCAAAACCCUUGAUAAACUCACAAAAGAUUAUGAGGCAAUCAUUGGUAUAGAAACCCAUGUCCAACUCUCUACUUUAACCAAGGCCUUCUGUGGCUGCCCAUAUAACUAUGGGGCUCAACCAAACUCCAGUAUCUGCCCCAUUUGUAUGGGUUUACCUGGUGCUUUACCAGUUUUGAACUCUAGAGUUAUUGAAUUUGCUGUGAAAUUAGGCCUUGCACUUAAUUGCAAGCUGUCUUUGAACUCAAAGUUUGAUAGAAAACAGUACUUUUACCCUGACCUUCCAAAGGGAUACCAAAUAUCUCAGUUUGAUGUACCAAUCGCAAUCGGUGGUCACAUUGAUUUAGAUCUCCCUGUGGAAUUUGGUGGUGGGCAUAGAAGGUUUGGCAUUACCAGGGUUCACAUGGAAGAGGAUGCAGGGAAGCUGCUUCAUUCAGGAAAUGGAAGUUACUCACAGGUUGAUCUGAACAGGGCUGGGGUACCAUUGCUUGAGAUUGUUUCUGAACCUGAUAUGAGAAAUGGUAUUGAAGCUGCAGAAUAUGCAGCAGAACUACAGCGGGUGGUUAGGUAUUUGGGAGUGAGCAAUGGCAAUAUGCAGGAAGGUUCUCUUCGCUGUGAUGUGAAUGUUUCAAUUCGACCGAUUGGGCAAUCAGAGUUUGGAACGAAGGUUGAGGUAAAGAAUUUAAACUCAUUUUCAUCAAUUAAUAGGGCCAUUGAUUUUGAGAUAUCAAGGCAAGUGCUCCUCCACAGUCAAGGCCAAGGUGAUUCAAUUGUACAAGAAACUAGACUUUGGGAAGAAGGUUCUCAGAAAACAGUUUCAAUGAGGAAAAAGGAGGGGCUUUCUGAUUAUCGAUAUUUUCCUGAACCAGACCUUCCAGAAGUUAUUAUCACAAAAGAAUAUGUUAAUAGUAUCCGAAAUUCUUUGCCAGAACUUCCAGAAAUGAAGCGUCGGAGAUAUGAGAGCAUGGGCCUAAGCAUGCAGGAUGUUCUUUUCCUUGCAAAUGACAUAAGUGUUGCAGAAUUUUUUGAUGCAACCAUUGCAAAGGGUGCUGAUGUGAAGCUGGCUACCAACUGGAUAAUGGGUGAUAUUGCUGCCUACAUGAAAAAUGAAAAAGUGUCUAUAAAUGAGAUCAAACUUACCCCUCAAGAGCUAGCUGAGCUGAUUGCAUCAAUUAAAGGUGGCACUAUUAGUGGAAAGAUUGGGAAAGAGGUAAAAGUUUACUUCAAUUCAGUAUCAAUCAACUUCUUAAGCAUCCUAGUAUAUCAUCUCAGUGCUGCAAUAUACUAUUUUUCCUUUAGCUUUUAUUUUUCAUUAUCUACUGGUUGCAGCAUCCUGGCUAGCCUUGCGAAUUAAUUUUGCGUUUCACUAAUAAUAAUAAAGAACUUUGUAAGAGACAUACUUUGAAGGCAUUCUAGAGGUGCAGUUAAAAUAGCUAAAUGUGGAACUGGACCUUGUGAUAUUUGUCAUUCUUUAUUUUGUUCACGAUAAAUUUCCCCUUUAUUAAUUGCAGAUAUUGUUUGAGCUCAUAGCCAAAGGCGGAACUGUUAAGGGACUGAUAGAAGAAAAGGAUCUUGUUCAGGCAAGUUAUUCUUUGCUUCAGUAACCUAUUUUCAAAGGCAUAUUUGAGCUUUUUCUCUAGUAACCUAGUAGUCACUUUUAGUUUAACAAUGGACGCUUCUAACUUCUACAUAAAUUAGUGACUAAUAACAUAAACUGGAAGCUCAGAUGCUUGACAUUUUGAUUUCUUCACAAACCUUACGGUGGAGCAAGCUGAUCUUAUUAAUGUUAUGGUUUUUGAUAUUCGAGUAUUAGUUAUCAUGUCUGGUGAAAGGUUUGUAUUGAGGUUUCUACUAUUUCAAACCAGGCUUUCAUGAGCAGCUUGUUCAAAUGAACUCAACAUAUCAUGAAGUUUGAGAUGGGUAUUGUUUCAUUGAGUGAUUAGGUAUGGUGGGGAUGAUCAAUGUAAAAAAUUCAAAUUGUUGAGACAAUUACAUAGAUCACAAUGAGAAGAAAAUUGUGAGCCUAGUAAUAGGUCUCUUACAUGUUUCAAAAAUAGCAGAUUGUAGAUCCUGCUGAAAUUGAGAAAAUGGUGGUUAAAGUAAUAUCUGAGAAUCCAAAGCAGUUGGAACAAUAUCGUGCAGGCAAAACCAAGCUACAAGGUUAUUUUGCAGGCCAGGUUUGAAAUGACACUUCUUUUAUUUUAUCUUUCCCUUGUUUAUUUAUUUAUUCAUUUUCCAGAUUCUUGCAUCUAGGAAGACUAUCUUGACUAGUGAAUUCAUUUCCAGGUGAUGAAAGUAUCAAAAGGUAAGGCAAAUCCAGGGCUUCUGAACAAGAUCCUUCUAGAAAAAUUAAAUGACAAAAGUUGAAAGUUAAUAGGUGGGUAUCUUCUUAAGAAUCUUGUUUUUGAAAACAUAUUUUUGUGUCAUGUAAGAUCACAAGAACUGUGUCUUUCAUUGGUGUAGCUGGAGAACAUUAAUCUUGACCUGCUAUUGGGAAGCUAUUGCUGAUCCUUGGACUUGAUUUGGCUGAUUUGCAAUCUAAAACAGUUUAGCUUGCGAACCAUUGUCUUACCUGUCCAACAGGGAGAAGAAAAUUUAGGCUCUUACCAGUCCAACAGGGAGAAGAAAAUGUAGGCUCAAAACACACGCGGAAACUGACGGCAUCUUGUUAUGGUACCAUGCGUGAUUAGGGACAUCACUUCAUACAGAGACAGAAGCAUCGGAAUUUGCUUGUAAUUUCACUUGUUUUGCUGUUACAAGUCAAUAUUGAGCUGCAACUUCUUGUUAUGCACUCAAAUAAAUUGAUGCUGUGCCAUAACAUGUAUUUCUUUUCCCUUCUAGAUCAUUUCCACGUUAUAUCACUUGAUUAUGAGAAGAUUUACCCUUAAUCACUAGGCUUUGUUUUAGUGGACAAGGAGAACGUGUUAUGUCACUAUGCUCGAUUUGUU